ACGAAGUCUGAUGGAGCAACGCCGCGUGAGUGAAGAAGGUUUUCGGAUCGUAAAACUCUGUUGUAAGGGAAGAACAAGUACGUGAGUAACUGCACGUACCUUGACGGUACCUUAUUAGAAAGCCACGGCUAACUACGUGCCAGCAGCCGCGGUAAUACGUAGGUGGCAAGCGUUGUCCGGAAUUAUUGGGCGUAAAGCGCGCGCAGGCGGUCCUUUAAGUCUGAUGUGAAAGCCCACGGCUCAACCGUGGAGGGUCAUUGGAAACUGGGGGACUUGAGUGCAGGAGAGGUUAGUGGAAUUCCAAGUGUAGCGGUGAAAUGCGUAGAGAUUUGGAGGAACACCAGUGGCGAAGGCGACUAACUGGCCUGUAACUGACGCUGAGGCGCGAAAGCGUGGGGAGCAAACAGGAUUAGAUACCCUGGUAGUCCACGCCGUAAACGAUGAGUGCUAAGUGUUAGGGGGUUUCCGCCCCUUAGUGCUGCAGUAAACGCAUUAAGCACUCCGCCUGGGGAGUACGGUCGCAAGACUGAAACUCAAAGGAAUUGACGGGGGCCCGCACAAGCGGUGGAGCAUGUGGUUUAAUUCAAAGCAACGCGAAGAACCUUACCAGGUCUUGACAUCCCGUUGACCACUGUAGAGAUAUGGUUUUCCCUUCGGGGACAACGGUGACAGGUGGUGCAUGGUUGUCGUCAGCUCGUGUCGUGAGAUGUUGGGUUAAUUCCCGCAACGAGCGCUACCCUUAACUUAGUUGCCCGCAUUCAAUUGACACUCUAAGGUGACUGCCGAUGACAAACCGAAGAAGGUCGGAAAUGAUCCCAACCAUCAUGACCCUUA
Molecule: ribosomal RNA, 834 nt
Filed under: Lysinibacillus odysseyi
Lineage: Bacteria; Bacillati; Bacillota; Bacilli; Caryophanales; Bacillaceae
Description: bacterial SSU rRNA
Rfam family: Bacterial small subunit ribosomal RNA
Source: RNAcentral